This is a small nuclear RNA of 199 nucleotides. It matches the Rfam family "U2 spliceosomal RNA". Rfam says of the family: U2 is a small nuclear RNA (snRNA) component of the spliceosome (involved in pre-mRNA splicing).
AUCUCUUUGCCUUUUGGCUUAGAUCAAGUGUAGUAUCUGUUCUUUUCAGUGUAACAACUGAAAUGUUCUCAUUGAGAACUUUUAAAUGUUACCUUUAUUUUUGGAAUAUGGUGAAGGAAUUGUAUUAUGGGCUUGCUCAUAAAUUCCUACACAUUGGGGUCGUUGCUCUUGCACUGCAAGCUUCUGACCCAAACCCCCU